CCUACGGGAGGCAGCAGUGGGGAAUAUUGGACAAUGGGCGAAAGCCUGAUCCAGCAAUGCCGCGUGAGUGAUGAAGGCCUUCGGGUCGUAAAGCUCUUUUACCAGGGAUGAUAAUGACAGUACCUGGAGAAUAAGCUCCGGCUAACUCCGUGCCAGCAGCCGCGGUAAUACGGAGGGAGCUAGCGUUGUUCGGAAUUACUGGGCGUAAAGAGUACGUAGGCGGUUAUUCAAGUCAGAGGUGAAAGCCCGGGGCUCAACCCCGGAACUGCCUUUGAAACUAGAUAACUAGAGUCUUGGAGAGGUUAGUGGAAUUCCGAGUGUAGAGGUGAAAUUCGUAGAUAUUCGGAAGAACACCAGUGGCGAAGGCGACUAACUGGACAAGUACUGACGCUGAGGUACGAAAGCGUGGGGAGCAAACAGGAUUAGAUACCCUGGUAGUCCACGCCGUAAACGAUGAUAACUAGUUGUUCGGUCACUUGGUGACUGAGUGACGCAGCUAACGCAUUAAGUUAUCCGCCUGGGGAUACGGUGCAAGNUUAAAACUNAAAGAUUGACGNNGAGAGNGCGAGACGACGACGAGGAGAG
RNAcentral lists this ribosomal RNA (585 nucleotides) under uncultured bacterium. RNAcentral describes it as "bacterial SSU rRNA". It matches the Rfam family "Bacterial small subunit ribosomal RNA", at positions 338 to 945 of the family's 1533-position model. The record is from RNAcentral.